Molecule: long non-coding RNA, 1192 nt
Filed under: Dasypus novemcinctus (nine-banded armadillo)
Lineage: Eukaryota; Metazoa; Chordata; Mammalia; Cingulata; Dasypodidae
Description: lncRNA (ENSDNOG00000049819.1)
Source: RNAcentral
UCUGUGUGGAUGAGUGUCCAAGAGUGUGAGUGUGACCUUGUGUGUGUUUGUGCGUGUGUGUCUGUGUGCGUGUGCGUGUGAGUCUGAGUGUGUGCAUGUGUGUGCGUGUGAGUGUGCUUGUGCAUGUGAAUCUGAGUGUGUGUGACUAUGUGUGUGUGCAUGUGCUUGUGUGUGUCUGUGUGUACAUUGUGUGUGCAUGAGUGAGUUUGUGCGUUUGUGUGUGCAUGUGCUUGUGUGUGUAUUUGUGUUUGAGUGUGACUGUGCGUGUGCUUGUGCAUGUGUGUCUGAGUGUGAGUGUAACUUUGUGUGUGUGAGUGUGCUUGUGUGUGUCUGAGUGUAUGUGCAUGUGUGUUUGUGUACAUUGCUUGUGCAUGUGAAUCGAGUGUGUGACUAUGUGUGUGUGCAUGUGCUUGUGUGUGUCAGUGUGAGUCGAGUGUGUGUGUAUGUUGUGUGUGCAUGUGUGUGAGUUCGUGUGAGUAUGCCUGUAUGUCUGAGUGUGUGUGUAUGUUGUAUGUGCAUGGGUGUGUUUGUGUGUGAGUGUGCCUGUGUGUCUGAGUGUGUGUGUACGUUGUGUGUGCAUAUGUGUGAGUUCGUGUGUGAGUGUGUCCCUCCACCCUGCAGUGGGUGGGGGGCUGCGGGUGGGCUGGCGGGGACCAGCUGAGCUCUGCCUUCCUUCCACCCACCCUCCCAUCUCGUCCCCGCGUGGGGCCGGCCUUGGGGUCAGCGUAGGUGACGGGCGUCCCUGGGCCAAAGGCGGGGGCAGGGACUGGGGAGGACGGGGGCGGGGACGCCGGCCGGGGCGCCUGGCUCAGUCUCUGGUGCUCGACGGCCCCCACCCCCGGCAUCUCCCCACAUCGGGCCCACAUCUCGGGGCUGCCCGGGGCCUUCGUGUCCCUUCUCUUCCGGUCAAAAGGCCCCCAGCAGUGGGUGAGAACCAGAAGGGGUUUUCCUGCGGUCCGUACAGCUCAGACCUCCAGAGCUGCCACGGAGGACGAGAAGGAGCCCCCGACUCGUGGCUGCGACACGGGGGGAGCCUCAGGACAGAGGACACGUCUCCAAGAGAGAACUCGGCGCACGGCCCAAGGAGAGUGGAAGAUAACGUGAGAGUCGCCCGUUCCGCCAGGACUGCAAAGGCCCAUCCUGUGUCCAGCCGAGGCCUCCGGGCAGACGGCGAGAGGGACCCACAGCGGGC